Molecule: ribosomal RNA, 1346 nt
Filed under: uncultured bacterium
Lineage: Bacteria
Description: partial 16S ribosomal RNA
Rfam family: Bacterial small subunit ribosomal RNA
Source: RNAcentral
GACGAACGCUGGCGGCGUGCUUAACACAUGCAAGUCGAACGGAAAGGCCCUGCUUUUGUGGGGUGCUCGAGUGGCGAACGGGUGAGUAACACGUGAGUAACCUGCCCUUGACUUUGGGAUAACUUCAGGAAACUGGGGCUAAUACCGGAUAGGAGCUCCUGCUGCAUGGUGGGGGUUGGAAAGUUUCGGCGGUUGGGGAUGGACUCGCGGCUUAUCAGCUUGUUGGUGGGGUAGUGGCUUACCAAGGCUUUGACGGGUAGCCGGCCUGAGAGGGUGACCGGCCACAUUGGGACUGAGAUACGGCCCAGACUCCUACGGGAGGCAGCAGUGGGGAAUAUUGCACAAUGGGCGGAAGCCUGAUGCAGCAACGCCGCGUGCGGGAUGACGGCCUUCGGGUUGUAAACCGCUUUCGCCUGUGACGAAGCGUGAGUGACGGUAAUGGGUAAAGAAGCACCGGCUAACUACGUGCCAGCAGCCGCGGUGAUACGUAGGGUGCGAGCGUUGUCCGGAUUUAUUGGGCGUAAAGGGCUCGUAGGUGGUUGAUCGCGUCGGAAGUGUAAUCUUGGGGCUUAACCCUGAGCGUGCUUUCGAUACGGGUUGACUUGAGGAAGGUAGGGGAGAAUGGAAUUCCUGGUGGAGCGGUGGAAUGCGCAGAUAUCAGGAGGAACACCAGUGGCGAAGGCGGUUCUCUGGGCCUUUCCUGACGCUGAGGAGCGAAAGCGUGGGGAGCGAACAGGCUUAGAUACCCUGGUAGUCCACGCUGUAAACGGUGGGUACUAGGUGUGGGGUCCGUUCCACGGGUUCCGUGCCGUAGCUAACGCUUUAAGUACCCCGCCUGGGGAGUACGGCCGCAAGGCUAAAACUCAAAGGAAUUGACGGGGCCCCGCACAAGCGGCGGAGCAUGCGGAUUAAUUCGAUGCAACGCGUAGAACCUUACCUGGGUUUGACAUGGAUCGGGAGUGCUCAGAGAUGGGUGUGCCUCUUUUGGGGUCGGUUCACAGGUGGUGCAUGGCUGUCGUCAGCUCGUGUCGUGAGAUGUUGGGUUAAGUCCCGCAACGAGCGCAACCCUUGUUCACUGUUGCCAGCACGUUAUGGUGGGGACUCAGUGGAGACCGCCGGGGUCAACUCGGAGGAAGGUGGGGAUGACGUCAAGUCAUCAUGCCCCUUAUGUCCAGGGCUUCACGCAUGCUACAAUGGCUGGUACAGAGAGUGGCGAGCCUGUGAGGGUGAGCGAAUCUCGGAAAGCCGGUCUCAGUUCGGAUUGGGGUCUGCAACCCGACCUCAUGAAGUCGGAGUCGCUAGUAAUCGCAGAUCAGCAACGCUGCGGUGAAUACGUUCCCGGGGCU